RNAcentral lists this ribosomal RNA (290 nucleotides) under Salmonella enterica. Its description in RNAcentral is "partial 23S ribosomal RNA". It matches the Rfam family "Bacterial large subunit ribosomal RNA", at positions 2334 to 2623 of the family's 2925-position model. RNAcentral also lists the same sequence under 1 other name. The record is from RNAcentral. Lineage: Bacteria; Pseudomonadati; Pseudomonadota; Gammaproteobacteria; Enterobacterales; Enterobacteriaceae.
GACAUCAGGAGGUUAGUGCAAUGGCAUAAGCCAGCUUGACUGCGAGCGUGACGGCGCGAGCAGGUGCGAAAGCAGGUCAUAGUGAUCCGGUGGUUCUGAAUGGAAGGGCCAUCGCUCAACGGAUAAAAGGUACUCCGGGGAUAACAGGCUGAUACCGCCCAAGAGUUCAUAUCGACGGCGGUGUUUGGCACCUCGAUGUCGGCUCAUCACAUCCUGGGGCUGAAGUAGGUCCCAAGGGUAUGGCUGUUCGCCAUUUAAAGUGGUACGCGAGCUGGGUUUAGAACGUCGUG